This 253-nucleotide ribosomal RNA is filed under the name uncultured bacterium. Its description in RNAcentral is "partial 16S ribosomal RNA". It matches the Rfam family "Bacterial small subunit ribosomal RNA", at positions 524 to 776 of the family's 1533-position model. The record is from RNAcentral.
UACGGGGGGGGCAAGCGUUGUUCGGAAUUACUGGGCGUAAAGGGCUCGUAGGCGGCCAACUAAGUCAGACGUGAAAUCCCUCGGCUUAACCGGGGAACUGCGUCUGAUACUGGAUGGCUUGAAUCCGGGAGAGGGAUGCGGAAUUCCAGGUGUAGCGGUGAAAUGCGUAGAUAUCUGGAGGAACACCGGUGGCGAAGGUGGCAUCCUGGACCGGCAUUGACGCUGAGGAGCGAAAGCCAGGGGAGCAAACGGG